CCUGGAACUCGCCAUUCCAAGUUUCUGAAGUUUCUCUCUUCUCUGCCCACCCAGCACCUAUCUCUCUGUCCUUGCAGGUGUUUUCGGAAGGGAGACACACAUAUUUGUAAACUUAGAUAUAUAUAGAGAUAUAUCUCGUCUGUUUGGUGAGUUAGAAAAUGUGGAGGCUCAAGGUUGCAGAUGGAGGCAAUGAUCCCUACAUCUACACCACCAACAACUUCGUGGGAAGACAUAUGGGAGUUUGAUCCUGACUAUGGAACCACAAAAGAGCGAGCUGAGGUCGAAGCAGCUCGUGAAAAUUUCUGGAAAAACCGGCUUCAGGUUAAGCCCAGCAACGACCUCCUUUGGCGGAUGCAGGCUUGCACGCGAACUUGAUAAAUUGGGAAAAGAAACAUGUAUUGAAACCACUUGACUUCAUCAAACAAGGUGACUAUAGUGGGCCACCAUAUGACGUUCACCUCCCACCAAAUGAGGUAAGGAUAUCAUAAAGUAAAAAAGAAAAAGAAAACAGAAAAGAUAUAUUGGGGAUACUACUAUUGGGUGAUUUUGGGCCUUCUCACCCCAAAAAUUAGCUUAAAGGGUGAGAUUUUCAUGCACACUGAUAAAGAGUCACCCAAUUCCUUCUAUAAAAGAUAUGGGAAAACCCAACAAUAUUCUCCUCAUACACACCAGAUUGUCGGAUAAUGAGAGGUGAAACCAAUUCCAAAACUGAGCAUUGGUACUAUAUUGAACAACUAAUUUCUUAAAAAGUUAAGUUUGUAGGAUUUGAACCCAAAAUAUAUAUUAUGUGAUUUAACAAUUGCUAACUCUAUCUUGAUUCUCUU
Vitis riparia (riverbank grape) is the source of this 824-nucleotide long non-coding RNA. RefSeq lists it as uncharacterized. The record is from RefSeq and is a predicted model, not a curated record. Lineage: Eukaryota; Viridiplantae; Streptophyta; Magnoliopsida; Vitales; Vitaceae. The transcript has 3 exons.